UUAGGUUCAGCGGGUAGUCUCACCCGAUUUGAGGUCAAGGUUCGUGGGUCGAGCAAGCUCGAACGAUGUCUCCCAUGAGACGGUUGGAAGCAGGUUCCCAAGGAAACAGAACAAAUCCCAGACGUAGAAACAUCUUAUCACGCCUGGGGAUCGGCAAAGGGGACCCCACUAAUGCAUUUAAGAGGAGCUGGCUUUUUGCA
This 200-nucleotide unclassified non-coding RNA is filed under the name Russula sp. Its description in RNAcentral is "partial internal transcribed spacer 2". Lineage: Eukaryota; Fungi; Basidiomycota; Agaricomycetes; Russulales; Russulaceae. The record is from RNAcentral.